GGGAAUAUCGAAGGCCAUUCCGCAACCUUCGUGCGACCCUUCAAUCCAUAUAGUUCUCCAUUCGAAGUUCAUAUCCAGAUCUGAUCCAUUCGAGUGAGCCGAUCUUAGGGUCCUUCAAGUGGUAUCAGAGCCACUCGUUUGGUAUCUUCUAAAUCAUUCAUCUUUCUCAUCUUCCAUUUCUAAAUCAUAAACACUUGUUCUUCUAUCUAUCUUGAAUCUGGGCCCCUCAUUACCAUCC
Molecule: long non-coding RNA, 238 nt
Filed under: Brassica napus (rape)
Lineage: Eukaryota; Viridiplantae; Streptophyta; Magnoliopsida; Brassicales; Brassicaceae
Description: long non-coding RNA (BNAP_LNC023905)
Source: RNAcentral